RNAcentral lists this ribosomal RNA (572 nucleotides) under uncultured Actinomycetes bacterium. Its description in RNAcentral is "bacterial SSU rRNA". It matches the Rfam family "Bacterial small subunit ribosomal RNA", at positions 298 to 883 of the family's 1533-position model. Lineage: Bacteria; Bacillati; Actinomycetota; Actinomycetes. The record is from RNAcentral.
GGAUGUCCAGCCACACUGGGACUGAGACACGGCCCAGACUCCCACGGGAGGCAGCAGUAGGGAAUCUUGCGCAAUGAGCGAAAGCUUGACGCAGCGACGCCGCGUGCGGGAUGAAGGCCCUCGGGUCGUAAACCGCUUUCAGCAGGGACGAAAUUGACGGUACCUGCAGAAGAAGGCCCGGCCAACUACGUGCCAGCAGCCGCGGUAAUACGUAGGGGCCAAGCGUUGUCCGGAUUUAUUGGGCGUAAAGAGCUCGUAGGCGGUUCGGUAAGUCGGCGGUGAAAUCUCCACGCUCAACGUGGAGGGGUCCGUCGAUACUGCUGUGACUCGAGUCCGGUAGGGGAGUUGUGGAAUUCCCGGUGUAGCGGUGAAAUGCGCAGAGAUCGGGAGGAACACCCGUAGCGAAGGCGGCACUCUGGGCCGGUACUGACGCUGAGGAGCGAAAGCGUGGGGAGCAAACAGGAUUAGAUACCCUGGUAGUCCACGCCGUAAACGUUGGGCACUAGGUGUGGGGUUCUAUCAACGGACUCCGUGCCGUAGCUAACGCAUUAAGUGCCCCGCCUGGGGAGUAC